UGGGGUGAGGGGAGGAGCUACACAUGCUCGGGUCUGGAGGCUGUUGAGGGAAUACUCUGCCCCCACACCUGGAAACCAUGUGUUUGAUACCAUUCCACUCCAGCCAUUACCACGAGCCCAUCCUCCCCAAUUAAGGUGCCACCAACCUCCUGUGCUAAGCACCAUAAACUCAGAGGCUUACUCACCUCAGUAACGACACUGGUAUUUUACUCUCACCUUGAAGAAGUAUAAAUUACACCGAUCAGUCUUCCUACAUUUGCUGGUAUUAUUAUCAACAUACAGUAUAUAUAAUUACUACACAUUCUAAACCUGAACGUGGCCAUGCUUCCACGUGCCACAAGGGGGUGCUAAAGUUCAGCGGUAGCAUUGUUUAUCGAACGUGAGGUGUCACACUUUGCAAGAAUACCAGUUAUGCUUCAUAUAGGGCUGACCUAAACUGUACUGUACCGUUCAGGUUUUCUUCUCGUUUCACAUUGUCCGUUCCAGCAGCUAUGGUGGACGUGUAACCAGGCCAGUUUGGUUUGGUCUUCUAGUGGGAAUCAGACAUAAGAGUAACAAAGGAACCAGGGAAGAACCUUCUCCAGCACCUUCCUGCCAGCAUGUUAAAGGGAAAACAAAUACAAGAAACAUCAGAUUUAACAAAAAAAGCAGUUUCAUUUAUUGAUCCUAUUUUUUUUAUUUUUUAUGUUUAUUUAUUAUAUUUGAUCUAUUUCUUUGAAAAAUAAGGGAUGUUUAUAUUAUAACCAAACCAGUUCAUUAUUUUGCACCUCUUUGUAGUGUAACUCACAGAAGUCUUCUUCCAGCAUUAUAACCAAGCGUCCCUUAGUAAAGGUGUCAUCCCUAAUAGACCCCUAUUCCCUAACCAAGCAUCCCUUAGUAAAGGUGUCAUCCCUUAGUAAAGGUGUCAUCCCUAAUAGAGCCCUAUUCCCUAACCAAGCAUCCCUUAGUAAAGGUGUCAUCCCUUAGUAAAGGUGUCAUCCCUAAUAGAGCCCUAUUCCCUAACCAAGCAUCCCUUAGUAAAGGUGUCAUCCCUUAGUAAAGGUGUCAUCCCUAAUAGAGCCCUAUUCCCUAUAGUACUCUUUGUGUAUUGAAGUGAUGGUGGUGAUUAUUGCUAUGAAAGGAGCCUGAUCUUCCUACCCUUGUUACUGAGUUACUACAGCAUAUAUAUAUAUAUAUAUACAGAGAUGCAGUGUAUUAUUCAACUCUAUGUUAGAGGUGACAUUGACUACAAUGAUCUAAGCACAUUCUAUGGUGCGUUGUGUUCCACUUCCUCCUCCGAAGCAUGUUUACUGUUUAUGUCCGUCUGAACAUGUGCCACCGUAUAUCCCUUUGGUUGGCAUCCUAAAUGGCACACUAGUGCCUAUGUAGUGCACUACUUCUGACCAGAAAUAAAGCGGUAUAUAGGCUGAUAGGGUGUCAUUUGGGACAAACACCUUGUUAGAAUGUUCCGUUUUUAAAUUUUUUUUUAAUGCAUCUUCAUUUUACAUUCAACUGUUUUAGACUUUUACAUUUUGUACAACCAUUUAUUUAUCGUUGUUAUUUUCUUCUUCAGUACACUAUGAAGGCUAUUGAGGUAAUAUGUCUGAUCCUGUAUUAAUCCUAUUGCUAUUUCCUUGUCUUUCAUUUCAAUGUGUUUUUCAUUUCAUUCAGUGUCUAAGUUUAAAUUUUCUUUGAGGGAAAGACAACUUUGCUCAGUCACACUGUUAUAAUGUUGUGUUAUUAUGAUUAUAGCACUUUCAUAAACAGUUUAGAUUCAGUCAGAAGUUAGGCCUUGGUUAAGAUACGUUUUUCAAGUCAGUCAGAAGUUAGGCCUUGGUUAAGAUACGUUUUUCAAGUCAGUCAGAAGUUAGGCCUUGGUUAAGAUACGUUUUUCAAGUCAGUCAGAAGUUAGGCCUUGGUUAAGAUACGUUUUUCAAGUCAAUCAGAAGUUAGGCCUUGGUUAAGAUACGUUUUUCAAGUCAGUCAGAAGUUAGGCCUUGGUUAAGAUACGUUUUUCAAGUCAGUCAGAAGUUAGGCCUUGGUUAAGAUACGUUUUUCAAGU
This is a long non-coding RNA of Salvelinus namaycush (lake trout), 2041 nucleotides long. RefSeq lists it as uncharacterized. The transcript is spliced from 2 exons. The record is from RefSeq and is a predicted model, not a curated record. NCBI's taxonomy places the organism in Eukaryota, Metazoa, Chordata, Actinopteri, Salmoniformes, Salmonidae.